Molecule: ribosomal RNA, 598 nt
Filed under: uncultured bacterium
Lineage: Bacteria
Description: bacterial SSU rRNA
Rfam family: Bacterial small subunit ribosomal RNA
Source: RNAcentral
UGACGGUAUCAUAUGAAUAAGCACCGGCUAACUCCGUGCCAGCAGCCGCGGUAAUACGGGGGGUGCAAGCGUUACUCGGAAUCACUGGGCGUAAAGAGCAUGUAGGCGGGUGAAUAAGUUGGAAGUGAAAUCCUAUAGCUUAACUAUAGAACUGCUUCCAAAACUGUUCACCUAGAGUAUGGGAGAGGUAGAUGGAAUUUCUGGUGUAGGGGUAAAAUCCGUAGAGAUCAGAAGGAAUACCGAUUGCGAAGGCGAUCUACUGGAACAUUACUGACGCUCAGAUGCGAAAGCGUGGGGAGCAAACAGGAUUAGAUACCCUGGUAGUCCACGCCCUAAACGAUGUACACUAGUUGUUGCUAUACUAGAUAUGGCAGUAAUGUAGUUAACACUUUAAGUGUACCGCCUGGGGGAGUACGGUCGCAAGAUUAAAACUCAAAGGAAUAGACGGGGACCCGCACAAGCGGUGGAGCAUGUGGGUUUAAUUCGACGAUACGCGAAAAACCUUACCUGGCCUUGACAUAGUAGGAAUCUUUAAGAAGAUUAGAAGAGUGCUAGCUUGCUAGAACCUACAUACAGGUGCUGCACGGCUGUCGUCAGC